Molecule: small nuclear RNA, 181 nt
Filed under: Daucus carota subsp. sativus
Lineage: Eukaryota; Viridiplantae; Streptophyta; Magnoliopsida; Apiales; Apiaceae
Description: snRNA U2
Rfam family: U2 spliceosomal RNA
About the family: U2 is a small nuclear RNA (snRNA) component of the spliceosome (involved in pre-mRNA splicing). Complementary binding between U2 snRNA (in an area lying towards the 5' end but 3' to hairpin I) and the branchpoint sequence (BPS) of the intron results the bulging out of an unpaired adenosine, on the BPS, which initiates a nucleophilic attack at the intronic 5' splice site, thus starting the first of two transesterification reactions that mediate splicing.
Source: RNAcentral
AUACCUUUCUCGGCCUUUUGGCUAAGAUCAAGUGUAGUAUCUGUUCUUAUCAGUUUAAUAUCUGAUAUGUGGGCCAUUGGCUCACACGAUAUUAAAUUUAUUUUUUGAGGGGGAGGUCCCAGUCACAAUAGCUUGCUAUGUCUAAAGCUAUGAGUAUUUAAAAUGAGGAGACUUACAUUUG